RNAcentral lists this ribosomal RNA (551 nucleotides) under uncultured bacterium. Its description in RNAcentral is "partial 16S ribosomal RNA". It matches the Rfam family "Bacterial small subunit ribosomal RNA", at positions 355 to 896 of the family's 1533-position model. The record is from RNAcentral.
UAGGGAAUCUUCCACAAUGGCGCAAGUCUGAUGGAGCAACGCCGCGUGAGUGAAGAAGGUUUUCGGACCGUAAAGCUCUGUUGUUGGUGAAGAAGGAUAGAGGUAGUAACUGGCCCUUUUAUUUGACGGUAAUCAACCAGAAAGUCACGGCUAACUACGUGCCAGCAGCCGCGGUAAUCGUAGGUGGCAAGCGUUGUCCGGAUUUAUUGGGCGUAAAGCGAGCGCAGGCGGAAGAAUAAGUCUGAUGUGAAAGCCCUCGGCUUAACCGAGGAAUUGCAUCGGAAACUGUUUUUCUUGAGUGCAGAAGAGGAGAGUAGAACUCCAUGUGUAGCGGUGGAAUGCGUAGAUAUAUGGAAGAAUACCAGUGGCGAAGGCGGCUCUCUGGUCUGCAACUGACGCUGAGGCUCGAAAGCAUGGGUAGCGAACAGGAUUAGAUACCCUGGUAGUCCAUGCCGUAAACGACGAGUGCUAAGUGUUGGGAGGCUUCCGCCUCUCAGUGCUGCAGCUAACGCAUUAAGCACUCCGCCUGGGGGAGUACGACCGCAAGGUUG